GUAGCGCUUUAAGGUUAGGUAGUUUGGACCGUCCGUGUGAGCGACGAACGGGUGACUAACGCGUGGGGAAUCUGCCUUUGAGCGGGGGACGACAUUUGGAAACGAAUGCUAAUACCGAAUAGAAACUUUAAACACAUAUUUUAAAUUUGAAAGAUGCUUUGCAUCACUCAAGAUGAUCCCGCGUUGUAUUAACUAGUUGGUGAGGUAAAGGCUCACCAAGGCGAUGAUGAUAGCCGACCUGAGAGGGUGAUCGGCCACAUUGGGACUGAGAGACGGCCCAAACUCCUACGGGAGGGAGCAAUUGGGAAUCUUCGGCAAUGGACGAAAGUCUGACCGAGCAACGCCUCGUGAGUGAAGAAGGUUUUCGGAUCGUAAAACUCUGUUGGUAGAGAAAAACCUUGGUGAGAGUGGAAAGCUCAUCAAGUGACGGUAACUACCCUGAAUGGGACGGCUAACUACGUGCCAGCAGCCGCGGUAAUACGUAGGUCCCGAGCGUUGUCCGGAUUUAUUGGGGCGUAAAGCGAGCGCAGGUGGUUUAUUAAGUCUGAUGUAAAAGGCGGGGGCUCAACCACUGUAUGCAUUGGAAACUGGUGGACUUGAGUGCCCGACA
RNAcentral lists this ribosomal RNA (610 nucleotides) under Lactococcus lactis. RNAcentral describes it as "bacterial SSU rRNA". It matches the Rfam family "Bacterial small subunit ribosomal RNA", at positions 61 to 655 of the family's 1533-position model. Lineage: Bacteria; Bacillati; Bacillota; Bacilli; Lactobacillales; Streptococcaceae. The record is from RNAcentral.